Molecule: ribosomal RNA, 257 nt
Filed under: uncultured bacterium
Lineage: Bacteria
Description: partial 16S ribosomal RNA
Rfam family: Bacterial small subunit ribosomal RNA
Source: RNAcentral
GAUCCUGGCUCAGGACGAACGCUGGCGGCGUGCUUAACACAUGCAAGUCGAACGCUGAAGCCUAGCUUGCUGGGUGGAUGAGUGGCGAACGGGUGAGUAACACGUGAGUAACCUGCCCUCUUCUUUGGGAUAACGCCCGGAAACGGGUGCUAAUACUGGAUAUUCACUGGCCUUCGCAUGGGGGUUGGGUGGGAAAGGGUUUUUUUCUUGGUGGGGGAGUGGGCUCGCGGCCUAUCAGCUUGUUGGUGGGGUGAUGG